RNAcentral lists this ribosomal RNA (497 nucleotides) under uncultured bacterium. Its description in RNAcentral is "partial 16S ribosomal RNA". It matches the Rfam family "Bacterial small subunit ribosomal RNA", at positions 28 to 507 of the family's 1533-position model. The record is from RNAcentral.
GAUGAACGCUGACGGCGUGCCUAAUACAUGCAAGUCGAGCGAACAGACGAGGAGCUUGCUCCUCUGACGUUAGCGGCGGACGGGUGAGUAACACGUGGAUAACCUACCUAUAAGACUGGGAUAACUUCGGGAAACCGGAGCUAAUACCGGAUAAUAUAUUGAACCGCAUGGUUCAAUAGUGAAAGACGGUUUUGCUGUCACUUAUAGAUGGAUCCGCGCCGCAUUAGCUAGUUGGUAAGGUAACGGCUUACCAAGGCGACGAUGCGUAGCCGACCUGAGAGGGUGAUCGGCCACACUGGAACUGAGACACGGUCCAGACUCCUACGGGAGGCAGCAGUAGGGAAUCUUCCGCAAUGGGCGAAGGCCUGACGGAGCAACGCCGCGUGAGUGAUGAAGGUCUUCGGAUCGUAAAACUCUGUUAUUAGGGAAGAACAAAUGUGUAAGUAACUAUGCACGUCUUGACGGUACCUAAUCAGAAAGCCACGGCUAACUACGUG